RNAcentral lists this unclassified non-coding RNA (343 nucleotides) under soil metagenome. Its description in RNAcentral is "partial contains 5.8S ribosomal RNA, internal transcribed spacer 2, and large subunit ribosomal RNA". The stretch from base 1 to 120 matches the Rfam family "5.8S ribosomal RNA", at positions 35 to 154 of the family's 154-position model. The record is from RNAcentral.
GAUGAAGAACGUAGCGAAAUGCGAUAAGUAAUGUGAAUUGCAGAAUUCAGUGAAUCAUCGAAUCUUUGAACGCACAUUGCGCCCGCCAGCAUUCUGGCGGGCAUGCCUGUUCGAGCAUCAUUUCAACCCUCGAGCCCCCCCGGGGGCCUCGGUGUUGGGGGACGGCACACCAGCCGCCCCCGAAAUGCAGUGGCGACCCCGCCGCAGCCUCCCCUGCGUAGUAGCACACACCUCGCACCGGAGCGCGGAGGCGGUCACGCCGUAAAACGCCCAACUUUCUUAGAGUUGACCUCGGAUCAGGUAGGAAUACCCGCUGAACUUAAGCAUAUCAAUAAGCGGAGGA